UCCCUACGGGACGCAGCAGUGAGGAAUAUUGGUCAAUGGGCGCGAGCCUGAACCAGCCAAGUCGCGUGAGGGAAGACGGUCCUAUGGGUUGUAAACCUCUUUUGUCGGAGAACAAAACCCGGGACGUGUCCCGGACUGCGUGUAUCCGAAGAAAAAGCAUCGGCUAACUCCGUGCCAGCAGCCGCGGUAAUACGGAGGAUGCGAGCGUUAUCCGGAUUUAUUGGGUUUAAAGGGUGCGUAGGCGGUCCGUUAAGUCAGCGGUAAAAUUGCGGGGCUCAACCCUGUCGAGCCGUUGAAACUGGCAG
RNAcentral lists this ribosomal RNA (305 nucleotides) under uncultured bacterium. RNAcentral describes it as "bacterial SSU rRNA". It matches the Rfam family "Bacterial small subunit ribosomal RNA", at positions 337 to 639 of the family's 1533-position model. The record is from RNAcentral.